UUCUGGCUCCCGUUGUCUCGCGUUCCGUCGUUGCUCUGGUGCCCUGGACUGCUGUGAAUGUGUUUUUAUGCCCUACUAGUGUUGCCUGGGGGUGCUUUUAUGUGUGCACCCUGGAAGAUAGGUCCAGAAGCCUUGCGAUUUCUUAGAUUAAAGCUAAGUGUACUCGUGACCCUACCAGCACUUUUCAAGAUACUUUCGACGUAUUCAUUGCGGUGAACAACGCGGUUGGGACAGCACACUCACGACGUGGGAAGGUCACAGAAAUGUUGAAAGACAUCAGAUUGGGCAUACGCUUCACCCGUGCAACUUCGUCAUGUGCUCCACGGCAGCACAAGCCUUUACGGCUGUGCCACUGUAUGUAAAAAAUGCUGAGUGAUUUUAAUAAAGAAUUUGCAGGGAAGUACAAUGUGUCGCACCUUGUUGACUCUUUUACAGAUGUGUGGAAACGUCGUAGCGGAUGAAUGUGAAUUAUGGAUCUCCAAGUGGCGUCGCCCGCGUCAUUUUCAAGAUUUUACCCGUUUUGAAGGCAAUAGGGCUGUUGAUAGGGAGA
This is a long non-coding RNA of Ornithodoros turicata, 550 nucleotides long. RefSeq lists it as uncharacterized. The transcript has 5 exons. The record is from RefSeq and is a predicted model, not a curated record. NCBI's taxonomy places the organism in Eukaryota, Metazoa, Arthropoda, Arachnida, Ixodida, Argasidae.